RNAcentral lists this non-coding RNA (216 nucleotides) under Lachnospiraceae bacterium. Its description in RNAcentral is "T-box sequence". It matches the Rfam family "T-box leader". Rfam says of the family: Uncharged tRNA acts as the effector for transcription antitermination of genes in the T-box leader family. T-boxes are found upstream of many aminoacyl-tRNA synthetase genes and some amino acid biosynthetic genes usually in Gram-positive bacteria. The anticodon of a specific tRNA base pairs to a specifier sequence within the T-box motif, and the NCCA acceptor tail of the tRNA base pairs to a conserved bulge in the T-box antiterminator hairpin. The record is from RNAcentral. Lineage: Bacteria; Bacillati; Bacillota; Clostridia; Lachnospirales; Lachnospiraceae.
GAAAAGGCAUGGAACGAAAAGAGUACAGAGUAAAUCCUUUUCAGAGAGAGACAGUCAUCGGCUGGAAGCUGUCUUAGAGGAAACUUUGGAAAGUGCAUUCGGGAGUUGAUUUGGUGAGGGGUAAGCCUAAGCCGGAUACGCAGUCCUGCGUUAUGGGAAAUAAGUGGGAGAUACUAUCUUCAAAUAGAGUGGAACCGCGGAUUUUUCGCCUCUAUG